Molecule: transfer RNA, 71 nt
Filed under: Candidatus Daviesbacteria bacterium
Lineage: Bacteria; Candidatus Daviesiibacteriota
Description: tRNA-Pro
Rfam family: tRNA
About the family: Transfer RNA (tRNA) molecules are approximately 80 nucleotides in length. Their secondary structure includes four short double-helical elements and three loops (D, anti-codon, and T loops).
Source: RNAcentral
CGGGGAUUAGUAUAGUGACAACACGCCGCGCUGGGGGUGCGGAAUCGGGAGUUUAAUUCUCCCAUCCCCGA